CCUACGGGAGGCAGCAGUGGGGAAUAUUGGACAAUGGGGGAAACCCUGAUGCAGCGACGCCGCGUGAGUGAAGACGUAUUUCGGUACGUAAAGCUCUAUCAGCAGGGAAGAAAAAAAGUCCUUUGGACUUUGGACGGUACCUGACUAAGAAGCCGCGGCUAACUACGUGCCAGCAGCCGCCGUAAUACGGAGGGGGCAAGCGUGAUACGGAGUUACUGGGUGUAAAGGGAGCGUAGACGGCAGCGCAAGUCUGGAGUGAAAUGCCGGGGCCCAACCCCGGAACUGCUUUGGAAACUGUGCAGCUGGAGUGCAGGAGAGGUAAGCGGAAUUCGUAGUGUAGCGGUGAAAUGCGUAGAUAUUAGGAGGAACACCAGUGGCGAAGGCGGCUUACUGGACUGUAACUGACGUUGAGGCUCGAAAGCGUGGGGAGCAAACAGGAUUAGAUACCCUAGUAGUC
This 457-nucleotide ribosomal RNA is filed under the name uncultured bacterium. RNAcentral describes it as "partial 16S ribosomal RNA". It matches the Rfam family "Bacterial small subunit ribosomal RNA", at positions 338 to 795 of the family's 1533-position model. The record is from RNAcentral.